This 73-nucleotide transfer RNA is filed under the name Mycobacteroides abscessus subsp. abscessus. RNAcentral describes it as "tRNA-Arg(tct)". It matches the Rfam family "tRNA". From Rfam's summary of the family: Transfer RNA (tRNA) molecules are approximately 80 nucleotides in length. Lineage: Bacteria; Bacillati; Actinomycetota; Actinomycetes; Mycobacteriales; Mycobacteriaceae. The record is from RNAcentral.
AUGCUUUAUAGUUUAAUGGUAAAACAUUAUACUUCUAAUAUAAUAAUUUAGGUUCGAUUCCUAAUAGGGCAUA